AGGACGACGCUGGCGGCGUGCCUAACACAUGCAAGUCGAGCGAGGAGAUUCCUCGGGAUGAUCCUAGCGGCGGACGGGUGAGUAACACGUGGGCAACCUGCCUCAUAGAGAGGAAUAGCCUUACGAAAGGGAGAUUAAUACCUCAUAACAUUGCAGUUUCGCAUGGAACAGCAAUUAAAGGAGCAAUCCGCUAUGAGAUGGGCCCGCGGCGCAUUAGCUAGUUGGUGAGGUAACGGCUCACCAAGGCGACGAUGCGUAGCCGACCUGAGAGGGUGAUCGGCCACAUUGGGACUGAGACACGGCCCAGACUCCUACGGGAGGCAGCAGUGGGGAAUAUUGCACAAUGGGGGAAACCCUGAUGCCAGCAACGCCGCGUGAGUGAUGACGGCCUUCGGGUUGUAAAGCUCUGUCUUCAGGGACGAUAAUGACGGUACCUGAGGAGGAAGCCACGGCUAACUACGUGCCAGCCGCCGC
Molecule: ribosomal RNA, 474 nt
Filed under: uncultured bacterium
Lineage: Bacteria
Description: bacterial SSU rRNA
Rfam family: Bacterial small subunit ribosomal RNA
Source: RNAcentral